Molecule: unclassified non-coding RNA, 349 nt
Filed under: soil metagenome
Description: partial contains 5.8S ribosomal RNA, internal transcribed spacer 2, and large subunit ribosomal RNA
Rfam family: 5.8S ribosomal RNA (bases 1-120)
Source: RNAcentral
GAUGAAGAACGUAGCAAAAUGCGAUAAGUAGUGUGAAUUGCAGAAUUCAGUGAAUCAUCGAGUCUUUGAACGCACAUUGCGCCCCCUGGUAUUCCGGGGGGCAUGCCUGUCCGAGCGUCAUUGCUGCCCUCAAGCACGGCUUGUGUGUUGGGCCUCCGCCCCCCGGCUCCCGGGGGGCGGGCCCGAAAGGCAGCGGCGGCACCGCGUCCGGUCCUCGAGCGUAUGGGGCUUCGUCACCCGCUCCGUAGGCCCGGCCGGCGCCCGCCGGCGACCCCCCUCAAUCUUUCCAGGUUGACCUCGGAUCAGGUAGGGAUACCCGCUGAACUUAAGCAUAUCAAUAAGCGGAGGA